CCUUGAUCCAGUCUGCCAGGCAUGGGGCACUCCAAGAUCGCAGCGACUUCCCUGUGCUUCCUCCUCCUCCUGACCUUGUGUUUUGGUGACCCCAUUUUACCAGAAAGGAGGAAAAGCCAUGUGAAGAACAUAGCAAGAUCUUCAAAGGAGUUGAAUGCGAAUAUGCCCCGUGCAAAGCGGCCUGCAUCACCGAGGACUACAAGGGCGGGUACUGCAAGCCUGUAGUGGACGUUGGGUGCACGUGUACCAACUACUGUCACGACGGCCCGUCCGAGAUGAUCUGACUCAACUGAAGCCAGGGGUGACUAUCUAUCGUAGCGCUCUGACAUAUAUGUGUUUUAUCUGAGGUUUUCCCUUUUUUUGAGAAACAUCUGAGGUUCUUCCGUAGAUGUUGUUGUUUAAUAUCAAUACAUACAUAUGAUCGGUACGGCAAUGAAA
Long non-coding RNA from Lolium perenne, 438 nucleotides. RefSeq lists it as uncharacterized. The record is from RefSeq and is a predicted model, not a curated record. NCBI's taxonomy places the organism in Eukaryota, Viridiplantae, Streptophyta, Magnoliopsida, Poales, Poaceae.